This 252-nucleotide ribosomal RNA is filed under the name uncultured Clostridiaceae bacterium. Its description in RNAcentral is "partial 16S ribosomal RNA". It matches the Rfam family "Bacterial small subunit ribosomal RNA", at positions 524 to 776 of the family's 1533-position model. The record is from RNAcentral. Lineage: Bacteria; Bacillati; Bacillota; Clostridia; Eubacteriales; Clostridiaceae.
UACGUAGGGGGCUAGCGUUAUCCGGAAUUACUGGGCGUAAAGGGUGCGUAGGUGGUUUCUUAAGUCAGAGGUGAAAGGCUACGGCUCAACCGUAGUAAGCCUUUGAAACUGGGAAACUUGAGUGCAGGAGAGGAGAGUGGAAUUCCUAGUGUAGCGGUGAAAUGCGUAGAUAUUAGGAGGAACACCAGUGGCGAAGGCGGCUUGCUGGACGAUAACUGACGCUGAGGCGCGAAAGCGUGGGGAGCAAACAGG